UCGAGUAGGGCCCAAGCAAGCCAGGAAGGAGGAGGUAGCCAGAGUGUUCUCUGCAGCAGAAGACCCCUUGCUGCCCUGCUCAACCCAGACCAGCAUUUGCCAGAUGCAGCAGAAAUGCUUGUUGGGAAGAAUGGAGGAACACCUGCUUCAGAGUGUGAAGUAUACCAGAGUCACUGCACAACUUAGAUACGGCAAUUCUUUAUUACAGUUCCUUCCUUAUCUUUUGUUUCACAGCCCCAAAAUUAUAAUUCAGUGUUAUCCACCCACUAUACAAACUGAGCCAGCUGAAAAGCACUGUGUCAAAAGCAAAACCUUUUUUUCAUUUUCUUUUUUGCAGGGAUGUAUUUCUUUAUUCCUAUAUCUGCACUACCAGGAAAGGGGUUAGCAAGGGCAUAUAUAUCACAAUUCCUUCAGACUGUGCUCUAUCACAGCAUAUUGAUUUAGUGUUUUGCAUACUAAGCUUUAUGUUUACAUGCACUUACUGGAUGGCACCUGUUAGUAUGGCUGUGCCAAAAUAAAUCAGAGAUAAGAGCAUGCGUUCCGUGCAAAGCUACACAUUUGCUUCUAUGCAAAACAGGGGCAUUUGCUGAGUCUCAGAGAGGAAAUGAGUGGCUGUUUACAGGAAAAGCAAGUGUGCAUGGCAGAAGUCCAGAAAUAGUAAUAUACUAUUCACACCCAUAGUGUGAUAUACAGAGAGAAUCCAAAGUGAGAUUAUAUAAAGGUGAUUUAGAGUACUUGUUCACCUAGGUAGAAGUCAUGUUGGGAAGAUUACUGAUGCGGCAGUUUUUCUGAUUGGAGAAUGAGGCUCAAUCUACAUGUGAUGGCUGAAGACUCCUUUCUUUAAUUCUUGGCCAGCCCAAUCACAUAUAAAAUGGACUGGUAGUUUGAUUUUAAGGGCAAAAAGGAUGUGCUAUAAACCUCCUACCUAAAGGUGCUCAGAGGGGUACGAAAAACUUCCUACCCCUUAGGGGUUAGUUUACCACUAACUCCUAUGGGGUUUACUACUGCUUAACACUGCUAACCUCCCCACAGCCCCUUCCCCUUGGUGCCUGCCUCCUUGCAUGGCCCACUUAUCAUCCAUGGAGGAAAAGGUGAGUUCAGGGAAUAGACUGUGGGGUAGUAAUCUGUGGGCAACAGAGGGUAUAGCACCCCUCAACCCACCCCACCCUUUUUGCUUUUAAAGCUGGAUACUUUCUGACAUUAACAGGCUUGUCUCUAGUCCUACUCACAUGUAAUGUUCAACAAACGUGCAGUUGCUGUACAGUGUAUGCAAGUACAGAUCUGUAUGCCUGUAAAGUUAUUAACACAUUAAAACAUUCAACACACAUACCGCAGUACAUUUUCCAUCUGUACCCUGGAUUUGUGGGGGCCUGCCCACAGGUUCACUUUUAAAAUGAAGGCAUGUACAGUCAUUCACAUAAAACCAGGUACAGACACCUGUAUGCACGUAUAAUAUGAAUUCUGAAAAGAGUUUCUCCCUUGUGCAGUUUGAACCUGAGAUUGAAAGAGAUAACGACUUGACCAAGGCCAUGCAAUCAACCCUUUGAAUCAGGUCUCUUAGAUCCACACGGAACUCUAUGACACUGGAUCACACUCAAUGGCUGAACAUCACAUGACGAAUUUGCAGGCGAAAUAGUCGUUUCAAAACAAAUGCCGCAGACAUCAAUCUUUGUAUUAGCCCAAUAUUUUUCAGUGUCAUUUUGUUGUAUUUACUCUUUUUUGCUUUUGUGGUCUAAGAACAUAAAUUUAUUGUUUGAUCGGA
Molecule: long non-coding RNA, 1762 nt
Organism: Hemicordylus capensis (graceful crag lizard)
Lineage: Eukaryota; Metazoa; Chordata; Lepidosauria; Squamata; Cordylidae
Exons: 2
Source: RefSeq, a predicted model, not a curated record